RNAcentral lists this unclassified non-coding RNA (318 nucleotides) under uncultured Physalospora. Its description in RNAcentral is "sequence contains ITS1". The stretch from base 1 to 108 matches the Rfam family "5.8S ribosomal RNA", at positions 50 to 154 of the family's 154-position model. The record is from RNAcentral. Lineage: Eukaryota; Fungi; Ascomycota; Sordariomycetes; Amphisphaeriales; Hyponectriaceae.
GAACUGCGAUACGUAGUGCGAAUUGCAGAAUUCAGUGAGUCAUCGAAUCUUUGAACGCAAAUGGCGCGAAUUGGGCGCUUCCCAAUUCGCAUGUCUGGUUGAGAAUCGGUAUUCUAUCGUACUCUAUUGCGAGUGCUGCUGGAUGUUUGUUGCUGUGCAAGUAACUCACCUUAAAGAAUACCACAUUUAGUUGUUUAUGGCCUGUAUACAUACAGCCACGAAAGUUGAUUCAACCUCGUGCUUAUGGUGCAUGGCCCUACAAUGUAUUACAUUAAAUUUUCCGAUCUCAACUCAGACAAGAUUACCCCCUGAACUUAA